Molecule: ribosomal RNA, 253 nt
Filed under: uncultured bacterium
Lineage: Bacteria
Description: partial 16S ribosomal RNA
Rfam family: Bacterial small subunit ribosomal RNA
Source: RNAcentral
UACGGGGGGGGCAAGCGUUGUUCGGAAUUACUGGGCGUAAAGGGCGCGUAGGCGGUUCGCUAAGUCGGAUGUGAAAACUCUGGGCUCAACCCAGAGCCUGCAUCCGAAACUGGCGGGCUAGAGUUCUGGAGGGGGUAGCGGAAUUCCUGGUGUAGCGGUGAAAUGCGUAGAUAUCAGGAGGAACACCGGUGGCGAAGGCGGGUCUCUGGGCCGAUACUGACGCUGAGGAGCGAAAGCCAGGGGAGCAAACGGG